RNAcentral lists this long non-coding RNA (3516 nucleotides) under Salmo salar (Atlantic salmon). RNAcentral describes it as "lncRNA (ENSSSAG00000093705.1)". The stretch from base 33 to 86 matches the Rfam family "UnaL2 LINE 3' element". Lineage: Eukaryota; Metazoa; Chordata; Actinopteri; Salmoniformes; Salmonidae. The record is from RNAcentral.
AAAGUGGUUGUUCCACUGGAUAUCAUAAGGUGAAUGCACCAUUUUGUAAGUCGCUCUGGAUAAGAGCGUCUGCUAAAUGACUUAAAUGUAAAUGUAAUGGAAAAGUUGUGUCAGUGUUCGCAAGAGUUAACUAAGUAAAAUAGCUUUCUGUUUGUGUUAGUUAUGCAACUUUAUCACAUAAUAUACUUCAGUCGAGACCCCCAUGCAUAUUCCAUUCCAAUAUAACGUUAGCCUAGCUGGUAGCCUUAUUAUUUCGUUUUUGAUAUGCAUGUGUUUAUGCACAUCAACACCCCUAGCAUUUCAGCAUAUGUGUGUACUGUUUAUAAGGGACACAAAUUCCUAAUAAUUUUAUUUGGCAAUGCAUAUUAGUAUUGCAUCUUGACUCUUUAUAAGAUGUGUUAGGCCUAUGUAUCUUGAUGAUAAUUGAGUGAGCAAACACAUUGCAGCAUUGGGCUAGCCGUAAUUAGUUGUAUCUCUAUUGAAUAAUAUUGGAGACUCAAAAUGACAAGACCAGAGCCUGGAAGCCUAUGGAGAAGAAAGAUGAAUAAAGACAACGCUGGGCUACUUAAACGACCAAGAAGGACUGCACAUUUGGUGAGUGGCGUGGCAUUGCUCUGCCAUAUUUUAACAUAGCAGACACAAUUUUAAUUGUUUUUCAUUUUACUCCCUGCAGUCUGCCCGCAUGAAUGGAACGCAACCACCCCAUCAGGGCGGAUCAACGGACCAGCCCCAUCAGGACAGAACACACCCGCCCCAUCAGGACAGAACACACCCACUCCAUUAGGACAUCAUGAUGAAUGAACAAUAUUUCACACAGCGAAUGUUUCAAUGAUUGACUUUACCAUUGAAAAUGAAGAGCCAACAUCCAACUUCAGAUCAGCCAGCAGAGAUACUCCUGAUGUCCUAACAACUGUAUGCGACAAUACUGAUCAGUAUGAUCCAUCUGAAUCCUUUGAGGAAGUAUUGCCUGAUUUCAUGGAUUGACCCUAUGAUAACUUUAUCUUCAGUGAGGGAUUUUAAAAGGUGUCUAGCAAGGAGGGUGCAUAGUCAACAUCCAAUGACUCAACAAAAACAGGCAAACCAUUAUAUGACAAUGCAUCCAUAACCGUUGGAGAGUGUCUUUUGGUAAUCAUGGUUUACGCAAACUGUCAUAAAGUAACUGGUAAGGCCCUUAGUGUUUUGCUUAAAUUAACAGCAUUGCAUUGUCCAGUCUCAACACAGACUGCUUGGGCAGUGUACAGAAGUUCAGAGACUUGUCUCACCUGUGGGACCAGCAUGUCAGAAGAAGGAUCAGCAUCAUCCUUCAUGGAGGUUGAAAUUGAUGCUCAAAUAAGAUCAGUUUCUCAAGCCUGUUUUUUUUUCAGGAAAAGCUUAACUUUAGAUUUUGUAGGAUGAAGAAAGAAUAUACAUAUGAUGCAGAAGUUUACAGACAUCAUGCAGAUGGAGCUGGACUUCUUAGUGAUCUUAGAAACAUCUCACUUACAUGUUACACAGAUGGGGUACCAAUUUUUAAAUUGUUGACGUUUUCAGUGUGGCCUUUUUAUUGUAUCAUUAAUGAAUUGAGCUUUAUUGAAUGCACAAAAAAAUGUAAUUAGAUUUUUUGCUGGGCUUUGGUAUGGGAACUCAAAACCAUCUAUGGUUACAUUUCUUAGACCACUAAGUAACACACUGAGUAAGCUUCAAGAGGAUGGAAUUUAUGUGCAGCCUGCAGAGGGCUCUGAAACGUUAUUAUUUUUUGUGCAAAGUGCUCACCAUUGCUGGCACAUGUGACUUGCCUGCCAAAGUAAUAGUACUAAAUAUAGUACAGUUCAAUGGAAACUUUGGAUGUUUGAAAUGUGAGCAGCCUGGAAAGACUGAAGACAUGGCAAAGGGGGCAUGUUCAUGCAUUUCCAUUCGAAGAAAUGGAUCCAAAAAGGCUACCUCGCACGCAUCAAACAUUUGAUGAUGCUAAAAUGGCCUAUGAGACAAAAAACACUGUGAAAGUUGUGAAGGGUCCCUAUUGGCUCAGCCAACUUAAAAGUUAUGACCUAAUCCGUAGCACUGGCAUUGACUACAUGCACUCAGCUGUUAGGAGUGAUGCGCCUUCUGAUGCUUCUAUGAUUUUCCACUGAGUCUUCUCAUCAGCCCUUCAGCAUUUCAAAAGAAACAAAAAAAAUAGACAAGGGAUUGCAAGAUGUCCGACCACCAUCCUUGACACGAUAUCCUCGAUCAGUAGCAUCUCACAGGAUGUUUAAGGCAUCAGAAUAUUGGGCUCUUUUAACCUUUUGUUUUCCUGUGUGUUCUUUGAACGCUUUACUACAAUCACUUCCUCCUAAGUUAAGCUAUUUUCAUUCUUCUGAUGGACUCCAUAUCAAUACAACAGAUUGGUCAUGCAGAGAAACUGCUAUGGGACUUUUGCUCUCAAAUUAGUCAUCUCUAUGGGGAGCGUUACCAAACUGCAAAUAUUCAACUUCUUGUGUACCUAGCAGACAGCGUCAGAGCCCUUGGCCCAUCAUGGACUCAUUCAUGUUUCCAUUUUGAAGACAAAAAUGGCUAUUUGUUAAGGCUCAUACAGGGUACUCAAAAUAUACCCAUGAAAAAUGGUCUAUGCAGUCAAACUACUGCAGUCUAUCCCUGCUAUUUCGCAAAAUCCUAAAGCCAGCUAAUGCAAUAGCUGACUUUUACGCAUGGAUGACCAAUGACCAUAGUUUUUAAUGACGAAAACAGUGAUAAGUCGAGAAAAACAGAAUUGGAGCAUCAGGUGAACAUCAACUGGAGGCAAGGCACCUCUGCAAUAGAAAAACAUGCUGGUCGCCACAUUAGUUCACCACAUUCAGUGAAGGCAUUUUACAGGGCACAAGUUGAGAGAACUCGUCUCACAUCAAGGCAUUAUGGGAAAGGAAAAAGGUACAAAUAAAGUAUGGACAGAUUGAUUUCUUUACCUCUGAGGAAUCAGGUGACAAAUGGGCACUUAUUAGCGAAUUUGAAUGUGCAGGUUUUUCUUUGCUGCAAGAUACUGUAACACAUGGUACAUGCUUUCAUGUUGAGCCCCUAUUGGACACCCCUGUCAGCACAUUUGUAAUUGCCCAUGAGCAUGUUUUGGGCAAAGUUGUUUUCCUUGACGUCUAUGCCCGGUAUUGUGUUUGAAACUCCUUUCCAAAACACACCUGAGAAGGACUAGGUAUACUCAACAAAUGACUUGUGUUGGAACAGUAUGAAUGUAUAUUGAAUGAUGAAUUAAUGGAAAUAAAUCAUAUCUGCUCCACUUUUGUGAUUAUUUUACCCUUCAACACCGCUUUGAGAUCAUGUAGAGAUAUCUCUGAGAUGACAUUUGCAUGAAUUGAUCAGACCUGUAAUAAUUAGUCUCAUAUAUAGUUCAUAGUGAGAUAGGUCCAAGAUUACAGUGUGUAAAUACCACUGAGAUCUGUAUGGGAUGAAUGUAAAACAUGUUUGAGAUAGAGCAUCUAAUUGUUCGUAUCACAUUGAAAUCUUUAAGUACUACUCUCAUUUAUCUAGUAGCUGAGACUGAGAAAGGAG